Cucumis melo (muskmelon) is the source of this 1310-nucleotide long non-coding RNA. RefSeq lists it as uncharacterized. The transcript is spliced from 2 exons. The record is from RefSeq and is a predicted model, not a curated record. NCBI's taxonomy places the organism in Eukaryota, Viridiplantae, Streptophyta, Magnoliopsida, Cucurbitales, Cucurbitaceae.
AGAAACACCAGUAAGUUCCAUAUUCUUCUAAUUUUUUGUGUUCUUAGUUUCCUUAGAUCUUCGAGUAGGCUUAAUUUAGCUAUCGUAGACAGUACUUCUGUAACCCGCUUCUGUUUCUUCCUUAAGUAAUUUAGGGAAAGAAGUGAUAUGGGUUCACAAUUGAGAACAAUUAUCUUCAUUCGUACGAGAUAUUUUGGGUUUUGGGUUUAUGCCCAAAAGUGGAAAUUAUCAUAUUAUUUCUUUACUUAGAAACCUUUAGGGAAUAAUGACCUUCCCCUACAUCCGCUACUGCUGCUAAUGCUCCAUUGGAGGCUCUGAUGUAAGUUUCAUUACUCAACUUUACUUUCUAGGAUUACCGGUGGAAAUAAGAUGUGCCCUUGAUAUGUUUUUUCUGACCAACGGCAGGCUACAUGGUACGGCUUUCUUCGUUAAAGAUUCUGUAUUUUAAUCAACUUUGCUUUUGUUGUUCAGUUUAGAUUAGAAGGGCAUAGUUCUUGAAAUGGCCAAGCGGGAUGCAUAUUUAUUCAAUGGUUGCUAAUCAUUUCAGAACUGCCUUGCUGACACACAUAACGUUAAGAGGUUUUUGAUUUUGAUGCAUUACUUGUGAAUUUGAUUCUUUAGGAAUGUUACGGGGGAAUGCAAGAUUGAAGUUAAAAUAAAGUUAAAGGUCAUUGUAAUAUAGGAGGACCAUUGUUUAUAGAAUAGCUUUCACUUUAGAAUUAAGAAAGCAUGUACGGUAUGUGGUAAUAAAUAGAGGAGGAAUGAGCACCAUUAACUCAUUAUACUAUUCGGUAUUUGCAUUCUAAACCCAUGAAAAAUAAUUGUUUUUAUUUCAUUUAUUUAAUUUAAUUUGCUUCAUAAAUUUGAUCUUUUUUGGUAGCAGGUUUAGCUUGAAGCUCGAAGGAUAUGAUUAGGAAUGAUUUUCAGUUUGAAACUAUCUUCAGUUGGGUUGGUUCCUUUUUAACUUCCAUCGUUUCUUUUGGUUUGAUGCAAAUUCACCAAUCCAAGUUUGAAAAAGGUGAAGGUUAUGAGUGAGAGGUUCUUUCAACAGAUCUUGAGGCUGACUGUUCUUCUUUGAAAUCUUUGUUACUGUACUCAAAAUAUGAAGGCAUGAUGAUAGAAUAGUCGAGUAAAAUGCCACCUGUUAGAUUUCAAGAGCUCGAUCAUAUUCUUCAUUGGAUUCAGAAUCCAUUUCUGUUGGGUGGUAACUUUAAACAUAAAAUUUUGAGGAUUCAUCAUAAGUGUUUUAGAAAAGCACCUCAAUCCAAAUGAGAUGUCCUAUAAUUAUUAUCAGAAGACAUAUUUGAAAA